RNAcentral lists this ribosomal RNA (459 nucleotides) under uncultured bacterium. RNAcentral describes it as "bacterial SSU rRNA". It matches the Rfam family "Bacterial small subunit ribosomal RNA", at positions 340 to 786 of the family's 1533-position model. The record is from RNAcentral.
UACGGAAGGCAGCAGUGGGGAAUAUUGCACAAUGGGCGCAAGCCUGAUGCAGCCAUGCCGCGUGUAUGAAGAAGGCCUUCGGGUUGUAAAGUACUUUCAGUCGUGAGGAAGGUGUUAAGGUUAAUAACCUUAGCAAUUGACGUUAGCGACAGAAGAAGCACCGGCUAACUCCGUGCCAGCAGCCGCGGUAAUACGGAGGGUGCGAGCGUUAAUCGGAAUUACUGGGCGUAAAGGGCACGCAGGCGGUUAAUUAAGUUGGAUGUGAAAUCCCCGGGCUUAACCUGGGAAUGGCAUUCAAGACUGGUUAGCUAGAGUCUUGUAGAGGGGGUAGAAUUCCAUGUGUAGCGGUGAAAUGCGUAGAGAUGUGGAGGAAUACCGGUGGCGAAAGGCGGCCCCUGGACAAAAGGACUGACGCUCAUGUGCGAAAAGCGUGGGGGAGCAAAACAGGGAUUAGAUACC